AGUGAAGGCUGUCACCAAGCCACACUUGACAGCAGCCACAAAACAUCCCCUCCGGCUGCGAGAAGCCUCACCCUACAAUUUAAAACGCGUCCUUCUGCCAGCUGAGAGAGAGAGAGAGAGAGCACGCCAGCCUUCAUCUCAGCUGUGCUAUAUGAAAGUCCCAUUCCACUCCCCAACGAUUCCUUGAACCACUGAGUCACACGACCCCUCUGACUGUAGAAAGAUAAAAUGUUUGAGGCUAACAGCAAGUCAACAUUUACUUUAAAAUUAAAAAAAAAAAAAAACCCAAAACUUUUUUCAUCUGUUAGGGUGACAUCAACUAGUCUCUUUUCUUUCUUAAACAUAUAUUUAUUUAUGAAUAUGAUAUGAGUGGUCUAUUUACACGUACACCUGCGUGACAGAAAAGGGCACGGGCCCAUUGUAGAUGGUUGUGAGCCACCAUGUGGGUGCUGGGAAUUAGACUCAGGUCCCCUGGCAAAGCAGCCAGGGCCCUUAACCACUGAGCCAUCUCCCAGCUCAUCAGUCAUACACAGGGGUACACACAACGCAACAUGCAUAUCAGAGCGAGCAUGCAGGACCAGGUCCAGUCCACCUUGUUUUCUGGGACAGGGUCUCUGCAGCUCCCCCGCUAGGCUAGGCUGGCUGACCAGUGUGCCUUACGGAGCCUCCUAUCUCCCUGUCCUGGGGGAGACAAACGGAUGACAGCUGUGUGGCACCAUUCCUGGCUUUUUAUGUGGGCUCUGGGGGUUGAACUCAGGUCUUCCUGCUUCUCCAGUAGGCACCUUGCCAACAGAGCUACCGCCCAGCUCCAGCAAUUACUCUUUACUGAACACUAACCAUAAACUGUGUUCGGUGUUUAAAAGUCACCAUCUCAUCCGACCCUUGUCAUCUCUACGAAGCAUCAUCCUGCCCUUCCCAAGAGCUGUUCAGAGAGGUGCUGUAAGCUGCCUACAGUUACACAGCAACGACAGCAGCCAAGUCCACUCCACCCUCCACCGCAGCCUAUCAUUCCAAAGCCCCAAAGCAAAGCUCCGUAACACUUUCACAUAAGGAGUGGAUAGUUCAGGAUGGUUCACAGACUCCUCUUUCUCUCUUGACACCAACCCAAAAUAAACAAAUGCGUGACACAACGGGCCAGGGGAGGGAAACUUUCACAACCGAAAAAAUAAAGUAAAAACCCAAUGUCGGAGUCCCACCCAUCCCUUUGGAAAACACCGCUCCUAACUAGGACACCGGGUGUGCAAACCAGAUAUUUUGGUUUUCCAGUAGCUUCCCCGUUUUUAAAGCUCGACACACUCUACUGCUGAGUAACUUCACUAUGUAGUCUUCUCAGGUGCGGUCAGUCCUCCCCAUUUCCAUCCAUGGUAGAAGGACAUUUUGACUCAAAAUAAAUAAGUAAAUAAAUAAAUAAAUAAAAUCAAGAGUCCUGCUACAUUUAUUUGCCUUUUUCUUCCUCUAACAAGCUCCAGUUUUAAGCCAGGUAAGGAAGCACGCCCUUUAAUCCCAGCACUCGGGAGGCAGAACCAGGUGAAUCUUUGAGUUUGAAGCCAGUCUGGUCUACAGAGUGAGUUCCAGGACAGCCAGGGCUACACAGAGAAACCCUGUCUCAAAAAGAAAACCAAACAAACAAACCAACCUCUAGGUUUCCAGGGGGAGGAUGGUGAGGCUGGAGUCAGACUAUUUGACUCACUCCCCAGCGAUCCCUCCGCUAAGUACGAGUUUAUGUUGUUAGAUGUUCCACUUACAGAGCUCCAGGAGCUAUUCUCACUGAAACAGAAGAGUCACAUACAGCAAAGUGGCAGCUUGCAGGCAGGGUCACAUGCUGAGAGGCAUACCCAUCAUUUUAUUAUUAAGCUGGAAAGACACCCUGCACACGGCCAACAAAACGUCUCUCAGAAACGGCAGCGAGGCCAAGCAAGGACUGUCCUUUCUUGUGCAGGCACGGAAUUCUCAUUUAGUCAAGAAAGAUGGAUUUUUUUUUUUUGGUCCCUUAUUAUUCUCUGAAAAUAGACAGUGCCACAUGGAGACCACAAACUGAGGAAACUACAUCUCAGGGCAAGGAUCUAUGUGCCAAGCUGCCAAGCCCGUGAAUACAAGGGGUGUAUUAAUGGAAACCCUGAUACCAUCUUACUACAGUGGCCUCUCUGUAGCGGCAGACAAUGAUCUGUUGAGGGUUUUCCAGGGAUUCUGAACGUACAACCUUCUCACAAGCCCCCUUGGAAGGGGGCUGGCUGGGUGCUGAACAAUUCCUCUUCGCAAAGCAAGCCAAAAAAAAAAAAAAAAAGAAAGAAAGCCCCCCCCCCAAUACUAGCUUCUGGCAGGAGGCAAAAAAACCUAAGCACUGCGGGCUUAGGGAAGCUUAGACUUCCCAGACAAAGGAGGUAGUGGGCCACAGAGAGCUGGAUUAGACAGCCCCAGGACUCCUAACAUCAGCGUCAGGACCAGUUGGGAGAGAAGGAAAAGGGGAAGUCUAGAGGGCAGAUCGGCAAGGGUGAAGCCAGUCACUCCUAGCAAACCACAGGCGAGGUGUGGAGGAAGAUAACCAGAAACAUGGGCGGCUGCAUGCCUUCCAGAGGCUGGGCCGGCGUUAGGCUAUAGAGAAGGGGGGGGGGGAGCGGUCAGCAGUCAGCUCCCUUUUGCUCUGUUGCCAGAAGCAAUUUCAGGAGCCCAAAGAGGUGGGCAGACAGCUGUGGGGCAGAGACAGGCAUGCUAGAAUUCCCUCGAUCCUUUCUUUACAAGAAGGCCGGGAUGCUUGGGGAAUGGGAUCCUCGCUCAAACCAUUCACAGACCAACCAAAAGAAGGAACUCUUGAGCCAACUCUCCCAAAGCCACUUUCACGGGAAAGGGCCUUUUAGGAGAGCAGGCAGCCACUGGGCCCCUUCCCACCUUACUCUGGCUGUCUGUGGCCUGAACUUCGAGGACCCCUUUCUCAGAAUCUCAUCCUAGACUCAGCUACAGAUCUCUGCUCCGCACAAGCCCAUCUUAGAACGGUCCGUCAACACGAGCUGGUCCUCAGAUCCGAUCCGCUCUUACUGGCUUCAGUGCCCCCCGCGACUUUCCAACCUUUCCUUUCAAAACCUUCCCAAAUCCAUUCCUAGUCUACCUGCUUUGGUCGACUAGAGUCCUUGGGAGAUUCAGCGGCAGUCACUUCCACCCCUACCAAGCCAAUCUCGGCGCCUUCACUCCCUCUCCCGGCCCCAAAGAACCCAUGUCUCGGUUCUAGGUUCCGAUCCCAGAUUCAAACCGGCCUGGGGCCCUCGGUGCCCCCGAUUCUCGCGUCAGGGCCCCACUCUGGCUGCCAGCGCGCCGUCCCAGCACCCCCCUUCCCCCCGUUCCAAGGCGCUCACCUCUUCCAUACCCCGCACCAUGUCGCCGAGCUGUGCAUCGUCCUCCAGCAGCUCGUGCAGCUGCAUCAGCGACAGCCCCGCGAAGCGCGCCUCGCUCACGGCGCCCGCCAUCCCGCCACUCGGACGCUGCCGCCGCCGCCGCCACUCGGGCCGCCAAGCUCCGCCGACCGGAAGCGCCGCCCUCAAGCCCCACCCCUCGCGGGGGGGCACGUGACGCCAGCGCUGGGUGUGACGUCAUCGGCGCGCGAAAGCACAGCCCAGAGUCCGAGGCUUCAGAGGAGGAGCUGGAAGGGAUGGCGAGAGCCUUGUGACGCCAUCACGCGGUCAUGAUGUCACUAUGGUGGAGGCUCUAAAGGAAGUUCUAGUCUCCACCACGAAGCUUGCCUUAGGAGCCCUGGGGUUGUCCCUGUGUGCACUGCAUUCAGGGUUGGUCUGGAUCCAAAGUCUCACUCAUCCCCCGAGGCUGGAGCCUUUGGUGUCUCUCAGGGGUACGCAGGAAACUCUUCCCAUUCUGGGUAUGGCUGCUGCCUGUGGUGUGAAUCCUCCUGCACUGGUGACUG
Mus musculus (house mouse) is the source of this 3907-nucleotide long non-coding RNA. RefSeq annotates it as predicted gene, 34086. Lineage: Eukaryota; Metazoa; Chordata; Mammalia; Rodentia; Muridae. The transcript has 3 exons. The record is from RefSeq and is a predicted model, not a curated record.